GACUAGCUAACUGAAAUCUUAAGUCAAUUAAAACUGGUACUUAAGUAACGUAAGGGAAAAUAAUGAUAUUACCUUGCUAUAAGGUUGUCCAAAUAACUGGUGCCAGAAGCUCGGUAACGCCAGAAACGCAAACGUUAGUCGUCCUAAUCAGGCGUAAAGGGUGAGUAGGCUGCUUUUAAAGUUAUUAAUUAGAAGCUCUAACUUCAAUAACAAGGCUCUAAUAAAGAAAAGUUUAAAUUUAAAUCGAACUAAUCAGUUAGCAACUGCAGUUAUUUACACAGUUAGUAAUUAAUAAUGAAUAAAAGCUAGAAUCAAACAGAGGAUAAACCGAACAAUGUUUAGAGUAGGGAUGAAAUCCUUAAAUACUAAAUGGAGUACUAAUGGUGAAAACUUUUAUCUAAUAAUGAUUGACGCUGAGGAACGAAGGUGAGAAUAGAAAAUAGGAUUGGAGACCCAGAUAUCCCUCACUGUCAACGAUGAAUGGUGGUUGUUAGUUUUAAAAAGAACUAGUAACGAUGUUACGCGAUAACCAUCCGCCUUGCGAGUACGGUUGCAAAACUGAAACCAAAAAAAUUAGUCGUCUCGGAGCAAACGAAUGAAG
Molecule: ribosomal RNA, 601 nt
Filed under: Agaricus bisporus (cultivated mushroom)
Lineage: Eukaryota; Fungi; Basidiomycota; Agaricomycetes; Agaricales; Agaricaceae
Description: partial 12S ribosomal RNA
Rfam family: Bacterial small subunit ribosomal RNA
Source: RNAcentral